CCAGACUCCUACGGGAGGCAGCAGUGGGGAAUAUUGCACAAUGGGGGAAACCCUGAUGCAGCAACGCCGCGUGAGUGAAGAAGCGUUUCGGCGCGUAAAGCUCUGUCAGCGGGGAAGAAAGAAGACGGUACCCGACCAAGAAGCCCCGGCUAACUACGUGCCAGCAGCCGCGGUAAUACGUAGGGGGCGAGCGUUAUCCGGAGUGACUGGGUGUAAAGAGUUGCGUAGGUGGCAUAGUAAGUAGCUAGUGAAAUCUGGUGGCUCAACCAUUCAGACUAUUAGCUAAACUGCUAAGCUCGAGACCGUUAGGGGUAACUGGAAUUUCUAGUGUAGGAGUGAAAUCCGUAGAUAUUAGAAGGAACACCGAUAGCGUAGGCAGGUUACUGGGACGGUUCUGACACUAAGGCACGAAAGCGUAGGGAGCAAACGGGAUUAGAUACCCCUGUAC
This 448-nucleotide ribosomal RNA is filed under the name uncultured bacterium. RNAcentral describes it as "bacterial SSU rRNA". It matches the Rfam family "Bacterial small subunit ribosomal RNA", at positions 331 to 793 of the family's 1533-position model. The record is from RNAcentral.